GAUCAAGCGACUAAGUGCAUGUGGUGGAUGCCUUGGCGAUCACAGGCGACGAAGGACGUGCAAGCCUGCGAAAAGCCCCGGGGAGUUGGCAAAGGAACAUUGAUCCGGGGAUGUCCGAAUGGGGAAACCCACCCGCAAGGGUAUCUCACGCUGAAUCCAUAGGCGUGCAGAGGCGAACGCAGCGAACUGAAACAUCUAAGUAGCUGCAGGAACAGAAAUCAACCGAGAUUCCCAAAGUAGUGGCGAGCGAACUGGGAGUAGCCUGUACGAGCAAACCGACGAACUAGCAGAAGGGCCUGGAAAGGCCGGCCAUAGUGGGUGAUAGCCCCGUAUGCGAAAGUUGGUCGGCGGGUCUGAGCGUACGACAAGUAGGGCGGGACACGUGAAAUCCUGUCUGAAGAUGGGGGGACCAUCCUCCAAGGCUAAAUACUCGUGAUCGACCGAUAGUGAACCAGUACCGUGAGGGAAAGGCGAAAAGAACCCCGGGAGGGGAGUGAAAUAGAUCCUGAAACCGCAUGCAUACAAACAGUCGGAGCGCCUUGCUUCAAGCGUCAACGGCUUGAAGCAAGGCUCUGAAGACAGAAGACGGAAGACAGAAGACAGUAAAGUUGGCGCGCCUGCAAGGCGCGCAGCUUGAACAGUCCUCAGUCCUCAGUCGUCAGUCCUCUGAGCCUUGCUUCAAGACCCGAUGGGUCUUGAAGCAAGGCGUGACGGCGUACCUUUUGUAUAAUGGGUCAGCGACUUACGUUAUGUUGCGAGCUUAACCGAAUAGGGGAGGCGAAGCGAAAGCGAGUCUGAAUAGGGCGACAAGUAGCAUGGCGUAGACCCGAAACCGGAUGAUCUACCCAUGGCCAGGAUGAAGGUUGGGUAACACCAGCUGGAGGUCCGAACCCACUAGUGUUGAAAAACUAGGGGAUGAGCUGUGGGUAGGGGUGAAAGGCUAAACAAAUCCGGAAAUAGCUGGUUCUCCCCGAAAACUAUUGAGGUAGUGCCUCAUGUAUCACUGCCGGGGGUAGAGCACUGUAAUGGUUGGGGGGGUCACUGCGAUCUACCCCGCCAUAGCAAACUCCGAAUACCGGCAAGUGCGAGCAUGGGAGACAGUCCGUGGGUGCUAACGUCCAUGGACAAGAGGGAAACAACCCAGACCGCCAGCUAAGGUCCCGAAUGACGUGCUAAGUGGAAAACGAAGUGGGAAGGCUUAGACAGCCAGGAGGUUGGCUUAGAAGCAGCCAUCCUUUAAAGAAAGCGUAAUAGCUCACUGGUCGAGUCGUCCUGCGCGGAAGAUGUAACGGGGCUAAGCACGUAACCGAAGCUGCGGGUUUCAGAGGACAGAUGACAGAAGACAGAAGACAGAGGGGAAUUCAGUGCACAGUAGUCAGAAAACAGCAGCGCCCGGGCCGGCGAUACGCGACGUGGAAGAUUUGGUCGUGUAUCGGAAAGCCUACGCAAUCUCGCUCGAAAUCCAUCGAAUCAGCCUGGAACUGCCGCAGUUCGAGCAGUUUGCCCUGGCCGACCAGAUGCGGCGAGCGUCCAAAUCGAUUUGCGCCAACCUGGCCGAAGGAUUCGGCCGGCAAGGGGUAUCGAAGGCCGAAUUCAAACGCUUCAUACUGAUGGCGAUGGGUUCGGCAGACGAAAUGCGGGUAUGGGUAAGCUACUGCAAAGACCUGGGCUAUAUCCAGGCCGCCAAAGCGCAAGCGUGGCGGCAGGAAUACCAGGACAUCGCCAAAAUGCUGGCCGGCCUGCACGCGAAGUGGGGCUAGCGAGCAAGAAGUGGCGAGCGAACCGACUACUGAACACUGAAAUCCCCUCUGUCCUCAGUCUUCUGUCCUCUGUCCUCUGAAGCGGUAGGGGAGCGUUCGGUAAGCCUGUGAAGGCGCAUCGAGAGGUGUGCUGGAGGUAUCCGAAGUGCGAAUGCUGACAUGAGUAGCGAUAAAACGGGUGAAAAGCCCGUUCGCCGAAAGCCCAAGGUUUCCUACGCAACGUUCAUCGGCGUAGGGUGAGUCGGCUCCUAAGGCGAGGCCGAAAGGCGUAGUCGAUGGGAAACAGGUCAAAAUUCCUGUACCUGUUCUGAGUGCGAUGAGGGGACGGAGAAGGCUACAGCAGCCGGGUGUUGGACGUCCCGGUUUAAGCGUGUAGGCAUGCCUGCCAGGCAAAUCCGGCGGGCUAAGCCAAGGCGUGAUGACGAGGCUCCACGUGAGCCGAAGUGCUGGAUGCCACGCUUCCAGGAAAAGCCUCUAAGCUUCAGCUCAGAAUAGACCGUACCGCAAACCGACACAGGUAGGCAGGAUGAAAAUUCCAAGGCGCUUGAGAGAACUCAGGAGAAGGAACUCGGCAAAUUGAUACCGUAACUUCGGGAGAAGGUAUGCCCCUGUAGGUUGUAGCGCCUCGCGCGCGAAGGCCGAAGGGGUCGCAGAGAAUCGGUGGCUGCGACUGUUUAAUAAAAACACAGCACUCUGCCAACACGAAAGUGGACGUAUAGGGUGUGACGCCUGCCCGGUGCCGGAAGGUUAAGUGAUGGGGUGCAAGCUCUUGAU
RNAcentral lists this ribosomal RNA (2534 nucleotides) under Rhodocyclaceae bacterium. RNAcentral describes it as "partial 23S ribosomal RNA". It matches the Rfam family "Bacterial large subunit ribosomal RNA", at positions 1 to 1903 of the family's 2925-position model. Lineage: Bacteria; Pseudomonadati; Pseudomonadota; Betaproteobacteria; Rhodocyclales; Rhodocyclaceae. The record is from RNAcentral.